UCCAGACUCCUACGGGAGGCAGCAGUGGGGAAUAUUGCACAAUGGGGGAAACCCUGAUGCAGCGACGCCGCGUGAGUGAAGAAGUAUUUCGGUAUGUAAAGCUCUAUCAGCAGGAACGAGACAAGACGGUACCUGACUAAGAAGCCCCGGCUAACUACGUGCCAGCAGCCGCGGUAAUACGUAGGGGGCAAGCGUUAUCCGGAUUUACUGGGUGUAAAGGGAGCGUAGACGGCUGUGCAAGCCAGAUGUGAAAGCCCGGGGCUCAACCCCGGGACUGCAUUUGGAACUGUGUGGCUGGAGUGUCGGAGAGGCAGGCGGAAUUCCUAGUGUAGUGGUGAAAUGCGUAGAUAUUAGGAGGAACACCAGUGGCGAAGGCGGCCUGCUGGACGAUGACUGACGUUGAGGCUCGAAAGCGUGGGGAGCAAACAGGAUUAGAUACCCUCGUA
Molecule: ribosomal RNA, 446 nt
Filed under: uncultured bacterium
Lineage: Bacteria
Description: bacterial SSU rRNA
Rfam family: Bacterial small subunit ribosomal RNA
Source: RNAcentral